This 2774-nucleotide ribosomal RNA is filed under the name Escherichia coli. RNAcentral describes it as "partial 23S ribosomal RNA". It matches the Rfam family "Bacterial large subunit ribosomal RNA". The record is from RNAcentral. Lineage: Bacteria; Pseudomonadati; Pseudomonadota; Gammaproteobacteria; Enterobacterales; Enterobacteriaceae.
GGUUAAGCGACUAAGCGUACACGGUGGAUGCCCUGGCAGUCAGAGGCGAUGAAGGACGUGCUAAUCUGCGAUAAGCGUCGGUAAGGUGAUAUGAACCGUUAUAACCGGCGAUUUCCGAAUGGGGAAACCCAGUGUGUUUCGACACACUAUCAUUAACUGAAUCCAUAGGUUAAUGAGGCGAACCGGGGGAACUGAAACAUCUAAGUACCCCGAGGAAAAGAAAUCAACCGAGAUUCCCCCAGUAGCGGCGAGCGAACGGGGAGCAGCCCAGAGCCUGAAUCAGUGUGUGUGUUAGUGGAAGCGUCUGGAAAGGCGCGCGAUACAGGGUGACAGCCCCGUACACAAAAAUGCACAUGCUGUGAGCUCGAUGAGUAGGGCGGGACACGUGGUAUCCUGUCUGAAUAUGGGGGGACCAUCCUCCAAGGCUAAAUACUCCUGACUGACCGAUAGUGAACCAGUACCGUGAGGGAAAGGCGAAAAGAACCCCGGCGAGGGGAGUGAAAAAGAACCUGAAACCGUGUACGUACAAGCAGUGGGAGCCUCUUUUAUGGGGUGACUGCGUACCUUUUGUAUAAUGGGUCAGCGACUUAUAUUCUGUAGCAAGGUUAACCGAAUAGGGGAGCCGAAGGGAAACCGAGUCUUAACUGGGCGUUAAGUUGCAGGGUAUAGACCCGAAACCCGGUGAUCUAGCCAUGGGCAGGUUGAAGGUUGGGUAACACUAACUGGAGGACCGAACCGACUAAUGUUGAAAAAUUAGCGGAUGACUUGUGGCUGGGGGUGAAAGGCCAAUCAAACCGGGAGAUAGCUGGUUCUCCCCGAAAGCUAUUUAGGUAGCGCCUCGUGAAUUCAUCUCCGGGGGUAGAGCACUGUUUCGGCAAGGGGGUCAUCCCGACUUACCAACCCGAUGCAAACUGCGAAUACCGGAGAAUGUUAUCACGGGAGACACACGGCGGGUGCUAACGUCCGUCGUGAAGAGGGAAACAACCCAGACCGCCAGCUAAGGUCCCAAAGUCAUGGUUAAGUGGGAAACGAUGUGGGAAGGCCCAGACAGCCAGGAUGUUGGCUUAGAAGCAGCCAUCAUUUAAAGAAAGCGUAAUAGCUCACUGGUCGAGUCGGCCUGCGCGGAAGAUGUAACGGGGCUAAACCAUGCACCGAAGCUGCGGCAGCGACGCUUAUGCGUUGUUGGGUAGGGGAGCGUUCUGUAAGCCUGUGAAGGUGUGCUGUGAGGCAUGCUGGAGGUAUCAGAAGUGCGAAUGCUGACAUAAGUAACGAUAAAGCGGGUGAAAAGCCCGCUCGCCGGAAGACCAAGGGUUCCUGUCCAACGUUAAUCGGGGCAGGGUGAGUCGACCCCUAAGGCGAGGCCGAAAGGCGUAGUCGAUGGGAAACAGGUUAAUAUUCCUGUACUUGGUGUUACUGCGAAGGGGGGACGGAGAAGGCUAUGUUGGCCGGGCGACGGUUGUCCCGGUUUAAGCGUGUAGGCUGGUUUUCCAGGCAAAUCCGGAAAAUCAAGGCUGAGGCGUGAUGACGAGGCACUACGGUGCUGAAGCAACAAAUGCCCUGCUUCCAGGAAAAGCCUCUAAGCAUCAGGUAACAUCAAAUCGUACCCCAAACCGACACAGGUGGUCAGGUAGAGAAUACCAAGGCGCUUGAGAGAACUCGGGUGAAGGAACUAGGCAAAAUGGUGCCGUAACUUCGGGAGAAGGCACGCUGAUAUGUAGGUGAGGUCCCUCGCGGAUGGAGCUGAAAUCAGUCGAAGAUACCAGCUGGCUGCAACUGUUUAUUAAAAACACAGCACUGUGCAAACACGAAAGUGGACGUAUACGGUGUGACGCCUGCCCGGUGCCGGAAGGUUAAUUGAUGGGGUUAGCGGUAACGCGAAGCUCUUGAUCGAAGCCCCGGUAAACGGCGGCCGUAACUAUAACGGUCCUAAGGUAGCGAAAUUCCUUGUCGGGUAAGUUCCGACCUGCACGAAUGGCGUAAUGAUGGCCAGGCUGUCUCCACCCGAGACUCAGUGAAAUUGAACUCGCUGUGAAGAUGCAGUGUACCCGCGGCAAGACGGAAAGACCCCGUGAACCUUUACUAUAGCUUGACACUGAACAUUGAGCCUUGAUGUGUAGGAUAGGUGGGAGGCUUUGAAGUGUGGACGCCAGUCUGCAUGGAGCCGGCCUUGAAAUACCACCCUUUAAUGUUUGAUGUUCUAACGUUGGCCCCUGAUCGGGGUUGCGGACAGUGUCUGGUGGGUAGUUUGACUGGGGCGGUCUCCUCCUAAAGAGUAACGGAGGAGCACGAAGGUUGGCUAAUCCUGGUCGGACAUCAGGAGGUUAGUGCAAUGGCAUAAGCCAGCUUGACUGCGAGCGUGACGGCGCGAGCAGGUGCGAAAGCAGGUCAUAGUGAUCCGGUGGUUCUGAAUGGAAGGGCCAUCGCUCAACGGAUAAAAGGUACUCCGGGGAUAACAGGCUGAUACCGCCCAAGAGUUCAUAUCGACGGCGGUGUUUGGCACCUCGAUGUCGGCUCAUCACAUCCUGGGGCUGAAGUAGGUCCCAAGGGUAUGGCUGUUCGCCAUUUAAAGUGGUACGCGAGCUGGGUUUAGAACGUCGUGAGACAGUUCGGUCCCUAUCUGCCGUGGGCGCUGGAGAACUGAGGGGGGCUGCUCCUAGUACGAGAGGACCGGAGUGGACGCAUCACUGGUGUUCGGGUUGUCAUGCCAAUGGCACUGCCCGGUAGCUAAAUGCGGAAGAGAUAAGUGCUGAAAGCAUCUAAGCACGAAACUUGCC